This 261-nucleotide ribosomal RNA is filed under the name uncultured Gammaproteobacteria bacterium. RNAcentral describes it as "partial 16S ribosomal RNA". It matches the Rfam family "Bacterial small subunit ribosomal RNA", at positions 35 to 299 of the family's 1533-position model. Lineage: Bacteria; Pseudomonadati; Pseudomonadota; Gammaproteobacteria. The record is from RNAcentral.
GCCGGCGGUAGGCUUACACAUGCACGUCGUGCGAGAAAGUAUCUUCGGAUAUGAGUAGAGCGGCGGACGGGUGAGUAACGCGUAGGAAUCUACCUAGUAGAAGGGGAUAGCCCGGGGAAACCCGGAUUAAUACCGUAUACCUCCUUCGGGAGAAAGAAGGCCUCUCUUUGAAGCUUUCGCUACUAGAUGAGCCUGCGUAAGAUUAGCUUGUUGGUGAGGUAAAGGCUCACCAAGGCUACGAUCUUUAGCUGGUCUGAGAGG